CAGCUUUUUCCUGGUAUAAAACAGAUUAUAGGAAAUAAAUGAAAAAUAGCCUCCCAAAUGGCCAAAAUGCCAAAUACCACCUCGAAUAGUGUCAAAUACAUCAAAUAAUCUAGCUAGAUCGUCACACCAAUUAAAAUAUUACAAACAUAAAUACAGUGGUAUGUGCUACAAACAUGAAACAUCAUAGUUUAGGCAGGAACUUCAGCUCCCCUCGUACCUUUUGUCCGGUUACUUUUCAUAAUUCUUUAACAGGAAGAAAAACCCACAUAUCCCAAUUCCAACUCAAUGACACUUAUCUCCAAAAUAGGCUCCCCAAACCAUUAUCAGCCACCUCAAUAAAUGAGGGAAGAAUCCUAUUGAGACAAUAAAACAGUAGCUAAAAUCAAUAAAUAUUAAAUAUAAAACAGGGCAUCAGAGGGGAGAAAUUAAAAACAAAUAUAUAUUGAUCAGAAUCGAACAAAAGAGAUAUAACCUCCAGGUUAACUAGACAUGUAAAUAGCGUCAAUUGAAUAAGAAGAACAAAAAAAUACAUUCACAACUACAGCAACAACUCCAAUGGACAUCAAAUUAGCAAAUUAGCCGAACCAACAAAUAAUCUAAGAUGGCCCCAGACUAUGUUUAAUCUAGAUAUAAUCACUAACAUGUAAUUUCAUUGAGAUAUAUUACACGAAAGUGUUAUAAAAUCUGCAUUCAGACUAUAACUCAAAGCACCGAUGAAAUAAAAAAAAAAAAAAAAAACGAGACCAUAAUUCAAAACUAACACUAAUUAUUUAUUUCUUAGCUUGAUAACUCACCAAUUAUUAAUCAACGGACAUUAUAUAGAUAUUCUGUAAUUUAACACUUGAAAAAGUGUUGAAUAAACAUCCAAUUCAAAACAAGUACUAGUAAACCAGUUCAGUCUAACACUGGUAAUUUCACUGGUUCAAAUUCUAUUUAGAUUCCAACAUUGAAUCGAAUCUGCAUUCAGAAGAUAAUUCAGAACUGACACUAAUUAAUUAUUUCUUAGCUUGAUAACUCACCAACUAUCAAUCAACGGUCAAUGUAUAGAUAAUUCCAAAAUUACCUCUUCAGAAAGUGUUUGAAAUCAUCCAAUUCAAUUUAAGUACUAGAAAAUUAGUUCAGUCUAACACUGCUGAUUUCACUGGUUCAAAUUCUAUUCAGAUUCAAACAUUGAAUCCAAUAUAAAAAGAAAGAAACUAUCCAAUUCAGUGAAAACUGUUCCAACAAUCAAUAAUAAAAUCACGUUUGGCAAAGAAUUGGCAUAUUGUAGUUGGAGCAAAGAAAUGUGCAACUAUAGUACAACAAUUUCAAUCCGAAUCAAAAUCUAAUCUGAAUCAAAAUCAAGACGAAGACAUUAGAGUCAAUGAAGAAGACUGAAGAGGUAGUAGUGAAGAAGUGAUACCUGAAAUGACCAACGAGUAGGCAUAGGAUCCUCCGCCAUUACUUUCUUGAGAAUCGAGCAGAAAGAAAGAAAAAGAAAGAUCUGCAACUAUUUUUUUUUCUCUCUCCUCGAUCACUCACGCGAAAUCGAGCAGAAAAAAAACCUUACCAGCUAUAAUUCCAGAAGCUACCAUGAAUGAAUUGGAGAUGAAGAUGUUAGAUUGAGUUAGAGUCGUAGAGAAGAAGAAGGAGACGGGCAACUAGGUUUCCAGAAGAAGGAGAAGCUUAUAUGUUAUGUUGAAUUGUUGAUAUAUACUGGGGUAGGAUAGGAAUAAGAUAUAUUAGUGGGG
Molecule: long non-coding RNA, 1730 nt
Filed under: Aquilegia coerulea
Lineage: Eukaryota; Viridiplantae; Streptophyta; Magnoliopsida; Ranunculales; Ranunculaceae
Description: long non-coding RNA (ACOE_LNC001347)
Source: RNAcentral